CCUGGUGGCUCAGAUGGUAAAGCGUCUGCCUACAAUGUGGGAGACCCAGGUUCAAUUCCUGGGUCAGGA
This 69-nucleotide transfer RNA is filed under the name Bos taurus (domestic cattle). It matches the Rfam family "tRNA". From Rfam's summary of the family: Transfer RNA (tRNA) molecules are approximately 80 nucleotides in length. Their secondary structure includes four short double-helical elements and three loops (D, anti-codon, and T loops). Further hydrogen bonds mediate the characteristic L-shaped molecular structure. tRNAs have two regions of fundamental functional importance: the anti-codon, which is responsible for specific mRNA codon recognition, and the 3' end, to which the tRNAs corresponding amino acid is attached (by aminoacyl-tRNA synthetases). tRNAs cope with the degeneracy of the genetic code in two manners: having more than one tRNA (with a specific anti-codon) for a particular amino acid; and 'wobble' base-pairing, i.e. permitting non-standard base-pairing at the 3rd anti-codon position. RNAcentral also lists the same sequence under 3 other names. The record is from Rfam by way of RNAcentral. Lineage: Eukaryota; Metazoa; Chordata; Mammalia; Artiodactyla; Bovidae.